Small nucleolar RNA from Sinocyclocheilus rhinocerous, 129 nucleotides. Its record names the gene SNORA63. It matches the Rfam family "Small nucleolar RNA SNORA63". From Rfam's summary of the family: E3 belongs to the H/ACA class of snoRNAs and is involved in the processing of eukaryotic pre-rRNA and has regions of complementarity to 18S rRNA. Lineage: Eukaryota; Metazoa; Chordata; Actinopteri; Cypriniformes; Cyprinidae. The record is from Ensembl.
AUGCAGGAUCAGUUACGGACCGGCUGUGUCGGUGCUGGUUUGUCGUUCCCCCUGCGCAAAUAAACCGGUUUCCUUCUAUCCUUGUGUGUUUGCAUCCCACAGCUCACAGGGACGCUUGGUCUCAGACAU